GUUGAGGUCUGAAGUGCAUUGCUAUUUGUGUCUACCUUGUCCCUCUCCUAACCUAUAAUUCCUGCACUAAUGACCCUCUUUCUGACCUAUAAUUUCCAAGCUAAUGAGUUACCUGUAUGCCAUUUCAGUGAGAGUACCGGGCAAAGGUUGUGUUGACAUUUCCAUGGAGUUUAGAAGUGAAGUGCAUUGCUAUAUGUUACCUUGUCCCUCUCCAAACCCACAAUUCCUGUACUAAUGACCCUCUUCCUGACGUAUAAUUUCCAAGCUAAUGAGUUGCCUGUAUGCCAUUUCACUGACCUCAAGUUCAAGUUCAUUUUCAAUACCUCAGCUGAUUGAUUCUUGGGGGACUUUGUGAACCCUGACCUCACUUUAUGCUCUCUAUUUUAUAUUCCUUUGGGCUUCUUUGCAAUAUCACCAGGUUUUGUUAGGUUUGCUUGGCUAGGUCAUAACAAAGGCCUUCCCCAGUGUUCUCUGUCUGGUGUUAGUGUGCUCCAUUCCACCCCAGCAAAGGUUGUAAUUCCACCUCUCCACCUGGUUCUCUGUCUGGUGUUAGUGUGCUCCAUCCUGCCCCAGCAAAGGUUGUAAUUCCACCUCUCCACCUGGUUCUCUGUCUGGUGUUAGUGUGCUCCAUCCAGCCCCAGCAAAGGUUGUAAUUCCACCUCUCCACCUGGUCCUCUGUCUGGUGUUAGUGUGCUCCAUCCCACCCCAGCAAAGGUUGUAAUUCCACCUCUCCACCUGGUUCUCUGUCUGGCGUUAGUGUGCUCCAUCCUGCCCCAGCAAAGGUUGUAAUUCCACCUCUCCACCUGGUCUUCUGUCUGGUGUUAGUGUGCUCCAUCCUGCCCCAGCAAAGGUUAUAAUUCCACCUCUCCACCUGGUCUUCUGUCUGGUGUUAGUGUGCUCCAUCCUGCCCCAGCAAAGGUUGUAAUUCCACCUCUCCACCUGGUCCUCUGUCUGGUGUUAGUGUGCUCCAUCCUGUCCCAGCAAAGGUUAUAAUUCCACCUCUCCACCUGGUCCUCUGUCUGGUGUUAGUGUGCUCCAUCCCACCCCAGCAAAGGUUUUAAUUCCACCUCUCCACCUGGUUCUCUGUCUGGUGUUAGUGUGCUCCAUCCCACCCCAGCAAAGGUUUUAAUUCCACCUCUCCACCUGGUUCUCUGUCUGGUGUUAGUGUGCUCCAUCCUGCCCCAGCAAAGGUUAUGGUUCCACCUCUCCACCUGGUCCUCUGUCUGGUGUUAGUGUGCUCCAUCCUGUAUGAAGCUGGAAGGCCUGUAUCAUAAGUUCUCUCUUACUGCCUCUGAUAGAAGUCUACAUUCCUAUAACAUGACAUCCAUAUACUUUUUUUAUAAUAAGGGUUAAGACAGCACCAUUUUAGACUGUGAGACCUGUUUCAUAUGCCCUACUACUACUACUACUACUACUACUACUACUACUACUAUUUAUCACACCAAAACCAUGACUACUUAUUAACUACUUCAAGCUCAACUCAUUUCCUUGGCUCGAGAGUUGUAUAUUAAGUAUUAAGAAUUUUAUCAUAGCAACCAUUCCUAUAGUCUUAGUUGUGUGGAAGUGGAAGUCAGGUGGAGUGGGAGCUUGUGGAGUAUUGUCACCCACUCCGCCCCAAAGAGUUUGAUAGGUGGAAUGCUCACCGCGUGCCGACAGCUUGUUCCCGAAGCCUUGACACGCCUUAACACCCACCCUCUACAUCUAGGCAGCUUUGUCACCCACUGGUCAUUGAAGAGACUGAGGCAAGGGAGAGAUAUAGCUCCUCUUCAUCUUCAUUUAACCCAUCCGCUGCAAUUGUCAGGGAUUUGGCUUUCACUGGUAGCCUGGUAACAUAUAGUCCCAGGUCUUUUUCUUCCUCUGUGGCAGAUAGUGGAGUUUCUGAUGUGGUACUGGUAUGCUGGAUAUCCCUUCACUGGGAGCCUGGUAACAUGUACUCCCAGGUCUUUCUCUGCCUCUGUGGUGGAUAGUGGAGUGUUUUCCAUGUGGUAUUUGUAUGCCGAGUAUCCCAUCCCAAGGUGCAGGACUUUACAUUUUCUCCAUUGAAUUGUAGCAGCCACUUGUUGUUCCAUUCCUG
Molecule: long non-coding RNA, 2074 nt
Organism: Eriocheir sinensis (Chinese mitten crab)
Lineage: Eukaryota; Metazoa; Arthropoda; Malacostraca; Decapoda; Varunidae
Exons: 3
Source: RefSeq, a predicted model, not a curated record